Molecule: ribosomal RNA, 253 nt
Filed under: uncultured bacterium
Lineage: Bacteria
Description: partial 16S ribosomal RNA
Rfam family: Bacterial small subunit ribosomal RNA
Source: RNAcentral
UACAGAGACUGCAAGCGUUAUUCGGAUUCACUGGGCGUAAAGGGUGCGCAGGCGGCCGUGUGUGUGAGGCGUGAAAGCCCGGGGCUCAACCCCGGAAUUGCACCUCAAACUACAUGGCUAGAGCAUUGGAGAGGGAAGCGGAAUUCACGGUGUAGCAGUGAAAUGCGUAGAUAUCGUGAGGAACACCAGAGGCGAAGGCGGCUUCCUGGACAAUUGCUGACGCUCAGGCACGAAAGCGUGGGGAGCGAACAGG